Molecule: long non-coding RNA, 315 nt
Filed under: Podarcis lilfordi (Lilford's wall lizard)
Lineage: Eukaryota; Metazoa; Chordata; Lepidosauria; Squamata; Lacertidae
Source: RNAcentral
GGCACUCCUGUCUUCCACUGCCUCCCGCAGUUUGGUCAAACUCAUGCUGGUAGCUUCGAGAACACUGUCCAACCAUCUCGCCCUCUGUUGUCCCCUUCUCCUUGUGCCCUCCAUCUUUCCCAACAUCAGGGUCUUUUCCAGGGAGUCUUCUCUUCUCAUGAGGUGGCCAAAGUCUUGGAGCCUCAGCUUCACGAUCUGUCCUUCCAGUGAGCACUCAGGGCUGAUUUCCUCCAGAAUGGAGAGGUUUGAUCUUCUUGCAGUCCAUGGGACUCUUGAGUCUCCUCCAGCACCAUAAUUCAAAAGCAUCAAUUCUUC